This 64-nucleotide microRNA precursor is filed under the name Fasciola hepatica (liver fluke). Its description in RNAcentral is "microRNA fhe-mir-124 precursor". Its record names the gene fhe-mir-124. Lineage: Eukaryota; Metazoa; Platyhelminthes; Trematoda; Plagiorchiida; Fasciolidae. The record is from miRBase by way of RNAcentral.
GCAUUUUCCGUGGUAGCCUUGAUCUGCUCAUACUGACAGGCAUUAAGGCACGCGGUGAAUGUCA